UGAUGUUCUCAGGGCGGGGUGCAAUUCCCCACCGGCGGUAUCGGGACUUGUCCCGGAGCCCGCGAGCGCUUCCGGUCUCCAAAGCCGGAAGGUCAGCAGAUCCGGUGAGAGGCCGGAGCCGACGGUAUAGUCCGGAUGGAAGAGGACAAGG
Spinacia oleracea (spinach) is the source of this 151-nucleotide non-coding RNA. The record is from Rfam. Lineage: Eukaryota; Viridiplantae; Streptophyta; Magnoliopsida; Caryophyllales; Amaranthaceae.